Molecule: microRNA precursor, 110 nt
Organism: Cebus imitator (Panamanian white-faced capuchin)
Lineage: Eukaryota; Metazoa; Chordata; Mammalia; Primates; Cebidae
Source: Ensembl
GUAAAUGCAGACUCUCGGAUUCCACCCCCAGAAAAUCCAUAAACCGGGGGUGGAGUCCAGGAAUCUGCAUUUUAGAAAGUACCCAGGGUGAUUCUGAUAUAUUGAGAACA